GAGCGUAAAAACACAGCCCGGUUGGUAGUCCGGGCGUCCUGCGGAUUAGAUCGAGUCAUCCGUAUUCUGUCCGUAAUGGAUCAGUAACCUUCCCCCCCUCGGGAUGUCCAUCGCUUUCGUA
Molecule: non-coding RNA, 121 nt
Filed under: Paenibacillus tuaregi
Lineage: Bacteria; Bacillati; Bacillota; Bacilli; Caryophanales; Paenibacillaceae
Description: yjdF RNA
Rfam family: azaaromatic riboswitch aptamer (yjdF RNA)
Source: RNAcentral